CCUACGGGGGGCAGCAGUGAGGAAUAUUGGUCAAUGGGCGAAAGCCUGAACCAGCCAAGUCGCGUGAGGGAUGACUGUCCUAUGGAUUGUAAACUUCUUUUAUAUGGGAAUAAAAUGCUCGACGUGUGGCGUUUUGUAUGUACCUUAUGAAUAAGGAUCGGCUAACUCCGUGCCAGCAGCCGCGGUAAUACGGGGGAUGCGAGCGUUAUCCGGAUUUAUUGGGUUUAAAGGGUGCGCAGGCGGCAUGUCAAGUCAGCGGUAAAAUUUCGGGGCUCAACCUCGGCGGGCCGUUGAAAAUGGGGUGCUUGAGUGGGUGAGAAGUAGGCGGAAUUCGUGGUGUAGCGGGGAAAUGCAUAGAUAUCACGCAGAACCCCGAUUGCGAAGGCAGCAUACCGGCUCUAAACUGACGCUGAGGCACGAAAGCGUGGGUAUCGAACAGGAUUAGAUACCCGAGUAGUC
This 459-nucleotide ribosomal RNA is filed under the name uncultured bacterium. RNAcentral's name for it is "partial 16S ribosomal RNA". It matches the Rfam family "Bacterial small subunit ribosomal RNA", at positions 338 to 795 of the family's 1533-position model. The record is from RNAcentral.